Molecule: ribosomal RNA, 728 nt
Filed under: Xylaria enteroleuca
Lineage: Eukaryota; Fungi; Ascomycota; Sordariomycetes; Xylariales; Xylariaceae
Description: partial large subunit ribosomal RNA
Rfam family: Eukaryotic large subunit ribosomal RNA
Source: RNAcentral
GUCCGAGUUGUAAUUUGUAGAGGAUGCUUUUGGCGCGGUGCCUUCCGAGUUCCCUGGAACGGGACGCCUUAGAGGGUGAGAGCCCCGUACGGUUGGACACUAAGCCUCUGUAAAGCUCCUUCGACGAGUCGAGUAGUUUGGGAAUGCUGCUCUAAAUGGGAGGUAAAUUUCUUCUAAAGCUAAAUAUUGGCCAGAGACCGAUAGCGCACAAGUAGAGUGAUCGAAAGAUGAAAAGCACUUUGAAAAGAGGGUUAAAUAGCACGUGAAAUUGUUGAAAGGGAAGCGUUUGCGACCAGACCUUUUCCUAGCGGAUCAACCGGUGUUCUCACCGGUGCACUUCGCUAGGUUUAGGCCAGCAUCGGUUUCUGGAGGGGGAUAAAAGCUCUGGGAACGUAGCUCCUCCGGGAGUGUUAUAGCCCUCUGCAUAAUACCUUUACAGGGACCGAGGACCGCGCUUCGGCAAGGAUGCUGGCGUAAUGGUCGUCAACGACCCGUCUUGAAACACGGACCAAGGAGUCGAACAUUUGUGCGAGUGUUUGGGUGUUAAACCCUCACGCGUAAUGAAAGUGAACGGAGGUGAGAGCCCUUACGGGUGCAUCAUCGACCGAUCCUGAUGUCUUCGGAUGGAUUUGAGUAAGAGCAUAACUGUUCGGACCCGAAAGAUGGUGAACUAUGCGUGGAUAGGGUGAAGCCAGAGGAAACUCUGGUGGAGGCUCGCAGCGGUUCUG